CCUACGGGCGGCAGCAGUGAGGAAUAUUGGUCAAUGGGCGAGAGCCUGAACCAGCCAAGUCGCGUGAAGGAUGACGGCCCUACGGGUUGUAAACUUCUUUUGUCAGGGAGCAAUUGAGUCCACGUGUGGUCUUAGCGAGAGUACCUGAAGGAAAAGCAUCGGCUAACUCCGUGCCAGCAGCCGCGGGAAUACGGGGGAUGCGAGCGUUAUCCGGAUUUAUUUGGUUUAAAGGGUGCGUAGGCGGAAUAUCAAGUCAGCGGUAAAAAUUCGGGGCUCAACCCCGUCGUGCCGUUGAAACUGAUGUUCUUGAGUGGGCGAGAGGAAUGCGGAAUUCGUGGUGUAGCGGUGAAAUGCAUAGAUAUCACGCAGAACUCCGAUUGCGAAGGCAGCAUACCGGCGCCCAACUGACGCUGAAGCACGAAAGCGUGGGUAUCGAACAGGAUUAGAUACCCGUGUAGUC
RNAcentral lists this ribosomal RNA (460 nucleotides) under uncultured bacterium. RNAcentral describes it as "partial 16S ribosomal RNA". It matches the Rfam family "Bacterial small subunit ribosomal RNA", at positions 338 to 795 of the family's 1533-position model. The record is from RNAcentral.